Molecule: long non-coding RNA, 202 nt
Filed under: Setaria viridis
Lineage: Eukaryota; Viridiplantae; Streptophyta; Magnoliopsida; Poales; Poaceae
Description: long non-coding RNA (SVIR_LNC009253)
Source: RNAcentral
UCGGAAAGCCUUAGGCAUGCAUUGUCCUAAUUUAAACAGCACCAUUGGUGUCGGUAUUGGACAUUAAAAAUAAUAAGAAUAAUGUUGUUAACAGUGAACUAUGUAGAUUACUUACAUACAUAGCCUUAGAUGCUUCAUCUGACCAUUGCCCAUUCUUCAUAUGAGUACUCAACCAAAGAUUUAAAUCACUUGGUUCUUCUCC